ACGAACGCUGGCGGCGUGCCUAACACAUGCAAGUCGAGCGAGGAGAUUCCUCGGGAUGAUCCUAGCGGCGGACGGGUGAGUAACACGUGGGCAACCUGCCUCAUAGAGAGGAAUAGCCUUCCGAAAGGGAGAUUAAUACCUCAUAACAUUGCAGUUUCGCAUGGAACAGCAAUUAAAGGAGCAAUCCGCUAUGAGAUGGGCCCGCGGCGCAUUAGCUAGUUGGUGAGGUAACGGCUCACCAAGGCGACGAUGCGUAGCCGACCUGAGAGGGUGAUCGGCCACAUUGGGACUGAGACACGGCCCAGACUCCUACGGGAGGCAGCAGUGGGGAAUAUUGCACAAUGGGGGAAACCCUGAUGCAGCCAACGCCGCGUGAGUGAUGACGGCCUUCGGGUUGUAAAGCUCUGUCUUCAGGGACGAUAAUGACGGUACCUGAGGAGGAAGCCACGGCUAACUACGUGCCAGCAGCAGC
This 472-nucleotide ribosomal RNA is filed under the name uncultured bacterium. Its description in RNAcentral is "bacterial SSU rRNA". It matches the Rfam family "Bacterial small subunit ribosomal RNA", at positions 29 to 518 of the family's 1533-position model. The record is from RNAcentral.